This 253-nucleotide ribosomal RNA is filed under the name uncultured bacterium. RNAcentral describes it as "partial 16S ribosomal RNA". It matches the Rfam family "Bacterial small subunit ribosomal RNA", at positions 524 to 776 of the family's 1533-position model. The record is from RNAcentral.
UACGGAGGGUGCAAGCGUUGUCCGGAAUUAUUGGGCGUAAAGAGCUCGUAGGCGGUCUGUUGCGUCGGCUGUGAAAACCCGGGGCUCAACUCCGGGCCUGCAGCCGAUACGGGCAGACUAGAGUUCGGCAGGGGAGACUGGAAUUCCUGGUGUAGCGGUGAAAUGCGCAGAUAUCAGGAGGAACACCGGUGGCGAAGGCGGGUCUCUGGGCCGAUACUGACGCUGAGGAGCGAAAGCGUGGGGAGCGAACAGG